ACCAAAACAGGUUUAUUGUAUUUUACAGACCAGGAGGAACAGGUUUAUUGUAUUUUACAGACUAGACCAGGAGGAACAAGAGACUGACGAGAACAGGUUUAUUGUAUUUUACAGACUAGACCAGGAGGAACAAGAGACUGACCUGAACAGGUUUAUUGUAUUUUACAGACUAGACCAGGAGGAACAGGUUUAUUGUAUUUUACAGACUAGACCAGGAGGAACAGGUUUAUUGUAUUUUACAGACCAGGAGGAACAGGUUUAUUGUAUUUUACAGACCAGGAGGAACAGGUUUAUUGUAUUUUACAGACUAGACCAGGAGGAACAAGAGACUGACGAGAACAGGUUUAUUGUAUUUUACAGACCAGGAGGAACAGGUUUAUUGUAUUUUACAGACUAGACCAGGAGGAACAGGUUUAUUGUAUUUUACAGACCAGGAGGAACAGGUUUAUUGUAUUUUACAGACUAGACCAGGAGGAACAAGAGACUGACCUGAACAGGUUUAUUGUAUUUUUAGAAAACUAUAACAUACUGAAAUUGUGUGUAAUCUACAAAAGGCAACACAGAUCGGUCAGACCAGAUCUCCCCACCACCUCCUCCUCCUCCUCCGGGGGGAAAAAGCUGUGAAAGGAUCCAACACAGCAUCAUCACAGCUCAAGAGUCCUAUUUCAAUUCAUUGAAGGUUGAGUCUGAAGCCAGUAAAAUGGAGUAUUCAGGAUGAACAACAGGUCAGACCCUGGGUUAGAAUGUAUACUAGUCUCUUCACUCACAUACAAGAAGAAGGUCUGGAGAUCGGAUAUCGUUCCAAUAUGUUGAUCGAAACCUGGGUCGAAUCGUUAAACAACAUUUGAGUCCAUGGAUGAACCCAAAUCAAGGCUUCAGAUAAACCACGGUUGGCUAGGUUACACACUUCCUCUACCCUCCCUGAAGCAAUCUGACAGAAUUGUAUGGAUAGAAGUACCAAUCACAGCUUGGGUCCCAAAAGUGUCUCGGGGUUAAAGGUUAAUCCAACGGAAGGAUUUGAUCAAAGCGUCAGAAGCACUGUCCGAUCUAGAAACAGGUCUGUCUG
Non-coding RNA from Oncorhynchus mykiss (rainbow trout), 1066 nucleotides. The record is from RefSeq and is a predicted model, not a curated record. NCBI's taxonomy places the organism in Eukaryota, Metazoa, Chordata, Actinopteri, Salmoniformes, Salmonidae.